Molecule: ribosomal RNA, 254 nt
Filed under: uncultured bacterium
Lineage: Bacteria
Description: partial 16S ribosomal RNA
Rfam family: Bacterial small subunit ribosomal RNA
Source: RNAcentral
UACAGAGGUCCCAAGCGUUGUUCGGAUUUACUGGGCGUAAAGGGCGCGUAGGCGGCCACCGCAAGUCAGUUGUGAAAGCUCUGGGCUUAACCCAGAAAGGUCAACUGAUACUGCGGGGCUAGAGUGCAGAAGGGGCAACUGGAAUUCUCGGUGUAGCGGUGAAAUGCGUAGAUAUCGAGAGGAACACCUGCGGCGAAGGCGGGUUGCUGGGCUGACACUGACGCUGAUGCGCGAAAGCUAGGGGAGCGAACGGG